CGGGUAGAGUACGCGUGGUAACCUGCCUCAUACAGGGGGAUAACAGUUAGAAAUGACUGCUAAUACCGCAUAAGCGCACGGGGAUGCAUAUCUUUGUGUGAGAAACUCCGGUGGUAUGAGAUGGACCCGCGUCUGAUUAGCUAGUUGGUGAGGUAACGGCUCACCAAGGCGACGAUCAGUAGCCGACCUGAGAGGGUGACCGGCCACAUUGGGACUGAGACACGGCCCAAACUCCUACGGGAGGCAGCAG
RNAcentral lists this ribosomal RNA (250 nucleotides) under uncultured bacterium. Its description in RNAcentral is "partial 16S ribosomal RNA". It matches the Rfam family "Bacterial small subunit ribosomal RNA", at positions 100 to 354 of the family's 1533-position model. The record is from RNAcentral.